UUCCCUCCUUCAAAAAGAUUUGCCCUCAAAUUUAAAAUGGUCCAUCACUUCUCAAAUCCAGCUUUUACUUCAUUUAUUUUAGAAAGCUUUAUGUGUGCAUAUAUACCCCAACCCAAUCUCCAUGUUCAAGUAUAACUUUUUUUUGCCCUUUAUAAGCCCUUUGACCAUUAACUUGGUUUUUCUUUUUAAUCUACUCACGUGCCUUCUCAUGGAUAGCUUUAACCAUUUGAGCCUUUUUCUUACCAUAUAAACUAGAAAUUUCACUUAAAAGGUAAUGACAUUAAAUCCA
This 289-nucleotide long non-coding RNA is filed under the name Carica papaya (papaya). RNAcentral's name for it is "long non-coding RNA (CPAP_LNC007886)". The record is from RNAcentral. Lineage: Eukaryota; Viridiplantae; Streptophyta; Magnoliopsida; Brassicales; Caricaceae.